This 414-nucleotide ribosomal RNA is filed under the name uncultured Porphyromonadaceae bacterium. RNAcentral describes it as "bacterial SSU rRNA". It matches the Rfam family "Bacterial small subunit ribosomal RNA", at positions 354 to 764 of the family's 1533-position model. The record is from RNAcentral. Lineage: Bacteria; Pseudomonadati; Bacteroidota; Bacteroidia; Bacteroidales; Porphyromonadaceae.
UGAGGGAAUAUUUGGGGUCAAUGGACGGGAGUCUGAACCAGCCAAGUAGCGUGCAGGACGACGGCCCUAUGGGUUGUAAACUGCUUUUAUAGGGGGAUAAAGUGUGCCACGUGUGGCAUAUUGCAGGUACCCGAAGAAAAGCAUCGGCUAACUCCGUGCCAGCAGCCGCGGUAAUACGGAGGAUGCGAGCGUUAUCCGGAUUUAUUGGGUUUAAAGGGUGCGCAGGCGGCGCGCCAAGUCAGCGGUCAAAGUUCCGGGCUCAACCCGGUGUCGCCGUUGAAACUGGUGUGCUCGAGUGCGUGCGAGGAAGGCGGAAUGCGUUGUGUAGCGGUGAAAUGCAUAGAUAUGACGCAGAACUCCGAUUGCGAAGGUAGCUUUCCAGCGCGCUACUGACGCUGAGGCACGAAAGCGUGG